GGGAAAACAUGGCUUCAGGCUUGUGUGUAAAGUGUCGUCCCAGGUUAGCUGGGAAAACAUGGCUUCAGGCUUGUGUGUAAAGUGUCGUCCCAGGUUAGCUGGGAAAACAAGGCUUCAGGCUUGUGUGUAAAGUGUCGUCCAAGGGUAGCUGGGAAAACAGGGCUUCAGGCUUGUGCGUAAAGUGUCGUCCCAGGGUAGCUGGGAAAACAGGGCUUAAGGCUUGUGUGUAAAGUGUCGUCCCAGGUUAGCUGGAAAACAGGGCUUCAGGAUUGUGUGUAAAGUGUCGUCCAAGGUUAGCUGGGAAAACAGGGCUUCAGGCUUGUGUGUAAAGUGUCGUCCUAGUUUAGCUGGGAAAACAGGGCUUCAGGAUUGUGUGUAAAGUGUCGUCCUAGUUUAGCUGGGAAAACAGGGC
Long non-coding RNA from Dreissena polymorpha, 412 nucleotides. RefSeq lists it as uncharacterized. The transcript has 4 exons. Lineage: Eukaryota; Metazoa; Mollusca; Bivalvia; Myida; Dreissenidae. The record is from RefSeq and is a predicted model, not a curated record.